UGCGUAGGCGGUUUGGUAAGUCAGAUGUGAAAUCCCGGGGCUCAACCCCGGAACUGCAUCCGAUACUGCCAGACUAGAGGACUGGAGAGGUGACUGGAAUUCUCGGUGUAGCAGUGAAAUGCGUGGAGAUCGAGAGGAACACUCGUGGCGUAAGCGAGUCACUGGACAGUAUCUGACGCUGAGGCACGAAGGCCAGGGUAGCGAAAG
This 207-nucleotide ribosomal RNA is filed under the name uncultured bacterium. RNAcentral describes it as "partial 16S ribosomal RNA". It matches the Rfam family "Bacterial small subunit ribosomal RNA", at positions 568 to 774 of the family's 1533-position model. The record is from RNAcentral.